This is a non-coding RNA of Ceratotherium simum simum (southern white rhinoceros), 313 nucleotides long. The record is from RefSeq and is a predicted model, not a curated record. Lineage: Eukaryota; Metazoa; Chordata; Mammalia; Perissodactyla; Rhinocerotidae.
GCAGCUGGGUGAAGGAGGCUAUGUCUCUCUGCAGGUGAGGACUCCAUCAGCACCUUGGGCCUGAUCCUUGGCGUGGGGCUAACACUGCUGCUCGUGUCCAUCCUGGGCUACAGCCUGGCCAAGUGGUACCAGCGUGGGUACUGCUGGGAGGGGCCUAAUUUUGUCUUCAACUUGUACCAAAUCCGGAACCUGAAGGAGCUGGAGAUAGGUCCACCUUUCACCAUCAGUGGCCACAUCAGCAGCCCAGAUGGUGUCUACAUGAAGUUCUCCGACAGGCUAGUCUGAUGGGGGAGCAUCAGCCUCUGGAGUCCCA